Molecule: ribosomal RNA, 497 nt
Filed under: uncultured bacterium
Lineage: Bacteria
Description: partial 16S ribosomal RNA
Rfam family: Bacterial small subunit ribosomal RNA
Source: RNAcentral
GAUGAACGCUGGCGGCGUGCCUAAUACAUGCAAGUCGAGCGAACAGAUGAGGAGCUUGCUCCUCUGACGUUAGCGGCGGACGGGUGAGUAACACGUGGAUAACCUACCUAUAAGACUGGGAUAACUUCGGGAAACCGGAGCUAAUACCGGAUAAUAUAUUGAACCGCAUGGUUCAAUAGUGAAAGACGGUUUUGCUGUCACUUAUAGAUGGAUCCGCGCCGCAUUAGCUAGUUGGUAAGGUAACGGCUUACCAAGGCAACGAUGCGUAGCCGACCUGAGAGGGUGAUCGGCCACACUGGAACUGAGACACGGUCCAGACUCCUACGGGAGGCAGCAGUAGGGAAUCUUCCGCAAUGGGCGAAAGCCUGACGGAGCAACGCCGCGUGAGUGAUGAAGGUCUUCGGAUCGUAAAACUCUGUUAUUAGGGAAGAACAAAUGUGUAAGUAACUAUGCACGUCUUGACGGUACCUAAUCAGAAAGCCACGGCUAUCUACGUG